RNAcentral lists this ribosomal RNA (618 nucleotides) under uncultured bacterium. Its description in RNAcentral is "bacterial SSU rRNA". It matches the Rfam family "Bacterial small subunit ribosomal RNA", at positions 395 to 1004 of the family's 1533-position model. The record is from RNAcentral.
UGCCGCGUGUGUGAAGAAGGCCUGCGGGUUGUAAAGCACUUUCAGUAGAGAAGAAAUGCCUGGAGCUAACAUCUCCGGGUCUUGACGUAACCUACAGAAGAAGCACCGGCUAACUCCGUGCCAGCAGCCGCGGUAAUACGGAGGGUGCGAGCGUUAAUCGGAAUUACUGGGCGUAAAGCGCGCGUAGGCGGUUUGGUCAGUCGAUUGUGAAAGCCCUGGGCUUAACCUGGGAAUUGCAGUCGAUACUGCCUGACCAGAAUGUGGAAGAGGGAAGUGGAAUUUCCGGUGUAGCGGUGAAAUGCGUAGAUAUCGGAAGGAACACCAGUGGCGAAGGCGGCUUCCUGGUCCAACAUUGACGCUGAGGUGCGAAAGCGUGGGGAGCGAACAGGAUUAGAUACCCUGGUAGUCCACGCCGUAAACGAUGAGAACUAGAUGUCGGGAGGGUUUAGCCUCUCGGUGUCGCAGCUAACGCGUUAAGUUCUCCGCCUGGGGAGUACGCCGGCAACGGUAAAACUCAAAGGAAUUGACGGGGACCCGCACAAGCGGUGGAGCAUGUGGUUUAAUUCGAUGCAACGCGAAGAACCUUACCUGCCCUUGACAUUGACAGAAUCCUGUAGA